RNAcentral lists this ribosomal RNA (774 nucleotides) under uncultured Neocallimastigales. Its description in RNAcentral is "partial large subunit ribosomal RNA". It matches the Rfam family "Eukaryotic large subunit ribosomal RNA", at positions 19 to 621 of the family's 3401-position model. Lineage: Eukaryota; Fungi; Neocallimastigomycota; Neocallimastigomycetes; Neocallimastigales. The record is from RNAcentral.
CGAGCACGCGCGUGUGGCAUAUCAAUAAGCGGAGGAAAAGAAACUAACAAGGAUUCCCUUAGUAACGGCGAGUGAAGCGGGAAGAGCUCAAAUUUGAAAUCUUCAAGGUUCUACCUUGACGAAUUGUAGUUUAUAGAAGUGUUUUCUGUUAGUGGAGUGGCAAAAGUUCUUUGGAAUAGGACAUCAUAGAGGGUGAGAAUCCCGUAUUUGGUCAUUCCUCCUAGCGUUGUGAUACACUUUCAACGAGUCGGAUUGUUUGGGAAUGCAGUCCAAAAUGGGUGGUAAAUUUCAUCUAAAGCUAAAUAUUGGCGAGAGACCGAUAGCGAACAAGUACCGUGAGGGAAAGAUGAAAAGAACUUUGAAAAGAGAGUUAAACAGUACGUGAAAUUGUCAAAAGGGAAGCGUUUGACACCAGUGUUGUUUUUCCGAAAAUCAAUUACGAAUGUUUUGUUUUUGAGGAGUUAUGACUUCAUCGGCUUGCUUCUUUCUUUACGAAACUUUCUUAAUGCACUUUUCGGUUAACAAGUCAACAUCAAUUUCUUUUGUUGUAAAAGGGUAUGAGGAAGGUGGCUUUCUUUUCGGAGAAAGUGUUUAUAGCCUUGUGCCUCUGCAAUCGGAGAGAUUGAGGUCUGCAGCGUAGAUCCUUCGGGGUUAGAUACGUUUGUGCUAAGUUAUAGCUUUUCAUAGACAACUUGUUGACUAUGUUUAGUCUUGUAGCUUACUCGCUGACGCUAUUUUACCUACGCUUAGGAUGUUGAACUCUAUCACACACAG